GUCGAGCGAAUCAAUAGGAGCUUGCUCCUGUUGAUUAGCGGCGGACGGGUGAGUAACACGUGGGCAACCUGCCUGUAAGACUGGGAUAACUUCGGGAAACCGGAGCUAAUACCGGAUAAUCCUUUUCCUCUCAUGAGGAAAAGCUGAAAGUCGGUUUCGGCUGACACUUACAGAUGGGCCCGCGGCGCAUUAGCUAGUUGGUGAGGUAACGGCUCACCAAGGCGACGAUGCGUAGCCGACCUGAGAGGGUGAUCGGCCACACUGGGACUGAGACACGGCCCAGACUCCUACGGGAGGCAGCAGUAGGGAAUCUUCCGCAAUGGACGAAAGUCUGACGGAGCAACGCCGCGUGAGCGAUGAAGGCCUUCGGGUCGUAAAGCUCUGUUGUUAGGGAAGAACAAGUAUCGGAGUAACUGCCGGUACCUUGACGGUACCUAACCAGAAAGCCACGGCUAACUACGUGCCAGCAGCCGCGGUAAUACGUAGGUGGCAAGCGUUGUCCGGAAUUAUUGGGCGUAAAGCGCGCGCAGGCGGUCCUUUAAGUCUGAUGUGAAAGCCCACGGCUCAACCGUGGAGGGUCAUUGGAAACUGGGGGACUUGAGUGCAGAAGAGGAAAGCGGAAUUCCACGUGUAGCGGUGAAAUGCGUAGAGAUGUGGAGGAACACCAGUGGCGAAGGCGGCUUUCUGGUCUGUAACUGACGCUGAGGCGCGAA
Molecule: ribosomal RNA, 713 nt
Filed under: Neobacillus niacini
Lineage: Bacteria; Bacillati; Bacillota; Bacilli; Caryophanales; Bacillaceae
Description: bacterial SSU rRNA
Rfam family: Bacterial small subunit ribosomal RNA
Source: RNAcentral